UAAAGCCAACAUAAACUAACUAAUCAUGC
RNAcentral lists this small RNA (29 nucleotides) under Bombyx mori (domestic silkworm). RNAcentral describes it as "ovarian small RNA-18323". Lineage: Eukaryota; Metazoa; Arthropoda; Insecta; Lepidoptera; Bombycidae. The record is from RNAcentral.